This 492-nucleotide ribosomal RNA is filed under the name uncultured bacterium. RNAcentral describes it as "partial 16S ribosomal RNA". It matches the Rfam family "Bacterial small subunit ribosomal RNA", at positions 29 to 507 of the family's 1533-position model. The record is from RNAcentral.
AGUGAACGCUGGCGGUAGGCCUAACACAUGCAAGUCGAACGGCAGCACAGUAAGAGCUUGCUCUUACGGGUGGCGAGUGGCGGACGGGUGAGGAAUACAUCGGAAUCUACUUUUUCGUGGGGGAUAACGUAGGGAAACUUACGCUAAUACCGCAUACGACCUACGGGUGAAAGCAUGGGAUCUUCGGACCUUGCGCGAUUGAAUGAGCCGAUGUCGGAUUAGCUAGUUGGCGGGGUAAAGGCCCACCAAGGCGACGAUCCGUAGCUGGUCUGAGAGGAUGAUCAGCCACACUGGAACUGAGACACGGUCCAGACUCCUACGGGAGGCAGCAGUGGGGAAUAUUGGACAAUGGGCGCAAGCCUGAUCCAGCCAUACCGCGUGGGUGGAGAAGGCCUUCGGGUUGUAAAGCCCUUUUGUUGGGAAAGAAAAGCAGCAGGUUAAUACCCCGCUGUUCUGACGGUACCCAAAGAAUAAGCACCGGCUAACUUCGUG